Molecule: ribosomal RNA, 402 nt
Filed under: uncultured bacterium
Lineage: Bacteria
Description: bacterial SSU rRNA
Rfam family: Bacterial small subunit ribosomal RNA
Source: RNAcentral
UGGGGAAUAUUGGACAAUGGGCGAAAGCCUGAUCCAGCCAUGCCGCGUGAGUGAUGAAGGCCCUAGGGUUGUAAAGCUCUUUUGUGCGGGAAGAUAAUGACGGUACCGCAAGAAUAAGCCCCGGCUAACUUCGUGCCAGCAGCCGCGGUAAUACGAAGGGGGCUAGCGUUGCCCGGAAUCACUGGGCGUAAAGGGUGCGUAGGCGGGUUUCUAAGUCAGAGGUGAAAGCCUGGAGCUCAACUCCAGAACUGCCUUUGAUACUGGAAGUCUUGAGUUCGGGAGAGNUGAGUGGAACUGCGAGUGUAGAGGUGAAAUUCGUAGAUAUUCGCAAGAACACCAGUGGCGAAGGCAGCUUACUACACAAUCAUUGACACUGAGGCACGAAAGCGUGGGUAGCGAACA